Long non-coding RNA from Eleginops maclovinus (Patagonian blennie), 1042 nucleotides. RefSeq lists it as uncharacterized. NCBI's taxonomy places the organism in Eukaryota, Metazoa, Chordata, Actinopteri, Perciformes, Eleginopidae. The record is from RefSeq and is a predicted model, not a curated record. The transcript is spliced from 3 exons.
GUCAUUAGCAUAUUUCUGACUAUAUCUGAUGCUUGCGCAAAGACGCUCCACUACUGCUGCAGCGCACCGACCAGAAAGCACCCAGCAUCCAGAAACCCUCCGACUACCUGCAACAAUGGAUGACAAGCCUGACAUUUCAGAAGUGCAGAAAUUCGACAAAUCGAAGCUAAAAAAGACCGAGACGCAGGAGAAGAAUGUCCUGCCUACACAAGACGUCAUCGAACAGGAGAAGGCAGACAAGUCGUGAAGCCCCUCCUUCCCAUCAUGCACUGUACACCCCCUUCCUCCUCCUCCUCCCGCAUUGCCUUGUUUUCAGUCACUUCUUUUUAGAUGUAUAACUUUGUAACCGAAAUUAUGAAACGAUAACCACGCUGCACAGCCUGUUAGGGUUUGGGCCCCGUCCCCCUGACGCUCGUACGCCACCUUCACUGACGAUGAGUAGGAUGUGAGGCAGAGGAGGGGAGCUGCACGUCCUUUCUUCACCACCACCUAAUGACAUCAAGGUGCAGCAGACGGAGAGGCCUCGGGGACGGGGCGUGGCCUGCGUCCCAGGAAGCUCCACCGCCGUCUCACACACCAAACACCCUACUUCCUGUGUGGCUGCUUUUGCGCCCCGAGCCAUGGCGUCAAGCUUUUAACUUUUUUUUAUUGUUUCUUCUAAUUUUCGGGAAAUGCACAACUUUGUUUGUACGCUGGCCAAAAUGUAAAUGCCCCCCCCCCCCAAAAAAAAAUGGUCUGUUUUUUCUUCUGUAUGUACACAAGGAUAAACAUGUAAAAGAUUCCAUCUAGAUCUGGGAGAAGGUCUCUUAUGGACCUGAUUUGGGCUUAAAUUUGAACGCCUUUUUUGUCAGACGCAUUCGGGAUAGCUUUAAAUCUGUCUCGUCUGAAAUUAGGAAAAAAGCAAUUGAUUCAAUUUGUUUGCUUUCAACAAUCCUUGCAAAAAUUGUCAAAAGUUUCCAGCGGUCAUGUUACUCUGCCACAAACCAUUACCAAAAAUGGAAAACCGUGAAAUGUUGUAAUAAAAAAGAAUUUGUUACUAAAA